AACGCUGGCGGCGCGCCUAACACAUGCAAGUCGGACGAGAAAGUGGAGCAAUCCAUGAGUACAGUGGCGUACGGGUGAGUAACACGUGGGUAAUCUACCUCUUAGUGGGGAAUAACUCUGGGAAACCGGAGCUAAUACCGCAUAAGCUCGAGAGAGGAAAGCAGCAAUGCGCUGAGAGAGGAGCCCGCGGCCGAUUAGUUAGUUGGCAGGGUAAAAGCCUACCAAGACCGAGAUCGGUAGCCGGCCUGAGAGGGCACACGGCCACACUGGCACUGAAACACGGGCCAGACUCCUACGGGAGGCAGCAGUGGGGAAUCUUGCACAAUGGGGGAAACCCUGAUGCAGCGACGCCGCGUGAGCGAUGAAGCCCUUCGGGGUGUAAAGCUCUUUCGGCAGGGAAGAUGAUGACGGUACCUGCAGAAGCA
RNAcentral lists this ribosomal RNA (425 nucleotides) under uncultured bacterium. RNAcentral describes it as "bacterial SSU rRNA". It matches the Rfam family "Bacterial small subunit ribosomal RNA", at positions 32 to 489 of the family's 1533-position model. The record is from RNAcentral.